UACGUAGAGGGCUAGCGUUGUCCGGAAUCAUUGGGCGUAAAGAGCGUGUAGGCGGUCCGGUAAGUCCGCUGUGAAAGUCGGGGGCUCAACCCUCGAAUGCCGAUGGAUACUGUCGGGCUAGAGUGCGGAAGAGGCGAGUGGAAUUCCUGGUGUAGCGGUGAAAUGCGCAGAUAUCAGGAGGAACACCUAUUGCGAAGGCAGCUCGCUGGGACGUAACUGACGCUGAGACGCGAAAGCGUGGGGAGCAAACAGG
RNAcentral lists this ribosomal RNA (253 nucleotides) under uncultured bacterium. RNAcentral's name for it is "partial 16S ribosomal RNA". It matches the Rfam family "Bacterial small subunit ribosomal RNA", at positions 524 to 776 of the family's 1533-position model. The record is from RNAcentral.